CUACGGGAGGCACCAGUGGGGAAUAUUGGACAAUGGGCGCAAGCCUGAUCCAGCCAUGCCGCGUGAGUGAUGAAGGCCCUAGGGUUGUAAAGCUCUUUCGCCAGGGACGAUAAUGACGGUACCUGGAUAAGAAGCCCCGGCUAACUUCGUGCCAGCAGCCGCGGUAAUACGAAGGGGGCUAGCGUUGUUCGGAAUCACUGGGCGUAAAGCGCACGUAGGCGGAUCUUUAAGUCAGGGGUGAAAUCCCGAGGCUCAACCUCGGAACUGCCUUUGAUACUGGAGGUCUCGAGUUCGGGAGAGGUGAGUGGAACUGCGAGUGUAGAGGUGAAAGUCGUAGAUAUUCGCAAGAACACCAGUGGCGAAGGCGGCUCACUGGCCCGAUACUGACGCUGAGGUGCGAAAGCGUGGGGAGCAAACAGGAUUAGAUACCCGGGUAGUC
Molecule: ribosomal RNA, 439 nt
Filed under: uncultured bacterium
Lineage: Bacteria
Description: partial 16S ribosomal RNA
Rfam family: Bacterial small subunit ribosomal RNA
Source: RNAcentral